This 73-nucleotide transfer RNA is filed under the name bacterium. RNAcentral's name for it is "tRNA-Arg". It matches the Rfam family "tRNA". Rfam says of the family: Transfer RNA (tRNA) molecules are approximately 80 nucleotides in length. The record is from RNAcentral.
GGCCGCGUAGCUCAGGGGAUAGAGCGUCAGCCUCCGGAGCUGAAAGUCGCAGGUUCGAAUCCUGCCGCGGUCG